UCGUUUUUUUAAAUUUGUAUCGCCUUGUUUUAUUUCGCGCUGUAACGCGUUCACUUUUAUUUUACAUUUUAUUUCCGUUGUUCUCAUUUCCAAAUAUUUUUUCUUACGCCAAGUAUUGUUUGUUUUAUCUUGAGGUCGCGCUUGCUCCUAAGGCCAGGAGGUGUGUCCGAAAACCUUGAAAACACAUUUUUUAUUCUGAACAUCUCGGCUGGUUAUCUUCAAACACUUUUGAAACAAAAAUGAGACAGUGCUCAACAACGCGAAACCGGUUUUUCAUACAGCCAGUUACCUACGGAGGAAUAAGAUUAAAGGGAGCAAAUCUCAAUAGCUCAGUUUUGGAGGAAUCGAUUUUUACGGAAUCUGGGAUCAACGGUUAUCUCAUCACGCAUUCUCCACUUUGGAAUGGGAUGAAUCAAGGUUAGGGACUGAUAGUACCGUUUAUUCACUAGCGCAAAACCCACGGUCUCCGCGAUACGAGCUUGAAAUAUCAUCGGCGGAGCGGGAUGGAAGGGGUCGACCAGAGACACUAAUUUUAUUUUGAUAAAAACCGCUAGAGGCGCGGUGAGCAAUACAGAAUACAGGGUCGUCGUGUGUUGUUGUCAGUUGUCAUUGUGUAGUGCUGAAAACGCUGCGUCCCGAAACGCUGCGCAAUCCUAAUGGAAUAAUGGCAGAAUACUGUUUUUACUGUAAUUCAGGCUGUCCUUGGAAUAUUAACUUUUGAAAAAAUGUUCUGUAAAGCUGUCGGAAAAAGUGAAAAAGAUGAGUGGUAAGAUAAUUUCUAAAAAUGGUGUGGAAACGUCUUUGGAAAAACGCUCGGUAUUUCGGAUGUCGAAAGAAAUUUUUUGGUGUUUUAAGUCAUUAUCCAAUUUCGUAUUAAUUCACCUGAAUGCGAGAAUAAUAUAGAAAAUAAAGAGGAAGUCCGACCCAUAAA
Venturia canescens is the source of this 931-nucleotide long non-coding RNA. RefSeq lists it as uncharacterized. The record is from RefSeq and is a predicted model, not a curated record. NCBI's taxonomy places the organism in Eukaryota, Metazoa, Arthropoda, Insecta, Hymenoptera, Ichneumonidae. The transcript is spliced from 3 exons.